AACGAACGCUGGCGGCAGGCUUAACACAUGCAAGUCGAACGCCCCGCAAGGGGAGUGGCAGACGGGUGAGUAACGCGUGGGAAUCUACCUUUUGCUACGGGAUAGCUCCGGGAAACUGGAAUUAAUACCGUAUGUGCCCUUCGGGGGAAAGAUUUAUCGGCAAAGGAUGAGCCCGCGUUGGAUUAGCUAGUUGGUGGGGUAAAGGCCUACCAAGGCGACGAUCCAUAGCUGGUCUGAGAGGAUGAUCAGCCACAUUGGGACUGAGACACGGCCCAAACUCCUACGGGAGGCAGCAGUGGGGAAUAUUGGACAAUGGGCGCAAGCCUGAUCCAGCCAUGCCGCGUGAGUGAUGAAGGUCUUAGGAUUGUAAAGCUCUUUCACCGGGGACGAUAAUGACGGUACCCGGAGAAGAAGCCCCGGCUAACUUCGUGCCAGCCGCCGCCGUAA
Molecule: ribosomal RNA, 447 nt
Filed under: uncultured bacterium
Lineage: Bacteria
Description: partial 16S ribosomal RNA
Rfam family: Bacterial small subunit ribosomal RNA
Source: RNAcentral